AGAGUUUGAUUCUGGCUCAGGAUGAACGCUGGCGGCGUGCCUAACACAUGCAAGUCGAACGGGGGAGCAUGAGGAAGAAAGCGCUUGCGUUUUUGGAAUCAUGUUUUCCAGUGGCGGACGGGUGAGUAACGCGUGGGCAACCUGCCCUGUACAGGGGGAUACCAUCUGGAAACAGAUGCUAAUACCGCAUAAUCGCAUCAGCCCGCAUGGGCAGAUGCGGAAAGGGAGCGAUCCCGGUACAGGAUGGACCCGCGUCUGAUUAGCCAGUUGGCAGGGUAACGGCCUACCAAAGCGACGAUCAGUAGCCGGCCUGAGAGGGUGGACGGCCACAUUGGGACUGAGACACGGCCCAGACUCCUACGGGAGGCAGCAGUGGGGAAUAUUGCACAAUGGGGGAAACCCUGAUGCAGCGACGCCGCGUGAGUGAAGAAGUAUUUCGGUAUGUAAAGCUCUGUCAGCAGGGAAGAAGAAAGACGGUACCUGACCAAGAAGCCCCGGCUAACUACGUGCCAGCAGCCGCGGUAAUACGUANGGGGCAAGCGUUAUCCGGAAUCACUGGGUGUAAAGGGAGCGUAGACGGCUGUGCAAGCCUGG
Molecule: ribosomal RNA, 594 nt
Filed under: uncultured bacterium
Lineage: Bacteria
Description: bacterial SSU rRNA
Rfam family: Bacterial small subunit ribosomal RNA
Source: RNAcentral